RNAcentral lists this ribosomal RNA (573 nucleotides) under Aspergillus fumigatus. RNAcentral describes it as "eukaryotic LSU rRNA". The stretch from base 185 to 338 matches the Rfam family "5.8S ribosomal RNA". Lineage: Eukaryota; Fungi; Ascomycota; Eurotiomycetes; Eurotiales; Aspergillaceae. The record is from RNAcentral.
GCCUCGGUGAGGCCUCUGGGUCCACCUCCCACCCGUGUCUAUCGUACCUUGUUGCUUCGGCGGGCCCGCCGUUUCGACGGCCGCCGGGGAGGCCUUGCGCCCCCGGGCCCGCGCCCGCCGAAGACCCCAACAUGAACGCUGUUCUGAAAGUAUGCAGUCUGAGUUGAUUAUCGUAAUCAGUUAAAACUUUCAACAACGGAUCUCUUGGUUCCGGCAUCGAUGAAGAACGCAGCGAAAUGCGAUAAGUAAUGUGAAUUGCAGAAUUCAGUGAAUCAUCGAGUCUUUGAACGCACAUUGCGCCCCCUGGUAUUCCGGGGGGCAUGCCUGUCCGAGCGUCAUUGCUGCCCUCAAGCACGGCUUGUGUGUUGGGCCCCCGUCCCCCUCUCCCGGGGGACGGGCCCGAAAGGCAGCGGCGGCACCGCGUCCGGUCCUCGAGCGUAUGGGGCUUUGUCACCUGCUCUGUAGGCCCGGCCGGCGCCAGCCGACACCCAACUUUAUUUUUCUAAGGUUGACCUCGGAUCAGGUAGGGAUACCCGCUGAACUUAAGCAUAUCAAUAAGCGGAGGAUUUCCGG